This 2503-nucleotide long non-coding RNA is filed under the name Eutrema salsugineum. The record is from RNAcentral. Lineage: Eukaryota; Viridiplantae; Streptophyta; Magnoliopsida; Brassicales; Brassicaceae.
CAUAUACUAAUGGGUGCGAUCAUACCAGCACUAAUGCACCGGAUCCCAUCAGAACUCCGCAGUUAAGCGUGCUUGGGCGAGAGUAGUACUAGGAUGGGUGACCUCCGGGAAGUCCUCGUGUUGCACCUUUUUUUGUUCCUCUUGAUUCUAUUAUUUUUUUUUUUUUUUUGUCUUUUCAUUUCAAAAACAAGGCAUCUUCCGAAGGACGCUAUUUCUAAACCGUGUGGAACCACGCCUCCUACAAAACCUUUUCGGAAAGCCCCUAGAGUGCUCUCGGGCUUGCCCAGGAGUCUAAAGUCCAAUGGUGCGGUUUACGAGGCCAAAAUUUGAGUUUUAGACCCUCUUCCGGGCGUUUUUCUAAAACAUAAGCCCCGGUUUUAGUGUCGUCAAACGUGGUGUCCUAACUUAUAUAUCUUGGCACGAAUGCUCGUCGCAGCUGGGCGGGAAAACCCAUAUAAACAGUGCAACACACGCGAAGAGAUUUCAUUGCGGACUCAAAGCCAAAGGAUAUAUGCUAAUGCGAUACAUAUACUGAUGGGUGUGAUCAUACCAGCACUAAUGCACCGAAUCCCAUCAGAACACCGCAGUUAAGCGUGCUUGGGCGAGAGUAGUACUAGGAUGGGUGACCUCCCGGGAAGUCCUCGUGUUGCACCUUUUUUUGUUCCUCUUGAUUCUUUUGUUUUUUUUUUUUUGUCUUUUCAUUUGAAAAACAACGCAUCUUCCGAACGACGCUAUUUCUAGACCGUGUGGAACCAGGCCUCCUACAACAACUUUUCGGAAAGCCCCUAGAGUGCUCUCAGGCUUGCCCAAGAGUCUAAAGACCAAGGGUGCGGUUUACGAGGCCAAAAUUUGAGUUUUAGACCCUCUUCUGGGCGUUUUUCUAAAACAUAAGCCCCGGUUUUAGUGUCGUCAAACGUGGUGUCCUAACUUAUAUAUCUUGGCACGAAUGCUCGUCGCAGCUGGGCGGGAAAACCCAUAUAAACAGUGCAACACACGCGAAGAGAUUUCAUUGCGGACUCAAAGCCAAAGGAUAUAUGCUAAUGCGAUACAUAUACUGAUGGGUGUGAUCAUACCAGCACUAAUGCACCGAAUCCCAUCAGAACACCGCAGUUAAGCGUGCUUGGGCGAGCGUAGUACUAGGAUGGGUGGCCUCCCGGGAAGUCCUCGUGUUGCACCUUUUUUUGUUCCUCUUGAUUCUUUUGUUUUUUUUUUUUUUUUGUCUUUUCAUUUGAAAAACAACGCAUCUUCCGAAGGACGCUAUUUCUAGACCGUGUGGAACCAGGCCUCCUACAACAACUUUUCGGAAAGCCCCUAGAGUGCUCUCAGGCUUGCCCAAGAGUCUAAAGACCAAGGGUGCGGUUUACGAGGCCAAAAUUUGAGUUUUAGACUCUCUUCUGGGCGUUUUUCUAAAACAUAAGCCCCGGUUUUAGUGUCGUCAAACGUGGUGUCCUAACUUAUAUAUCUUGGCACGAAUGCUCGUCGCAGCUAGGCGGGAAGCCCAUAUAAACAGUGCAACACACGCGAAGAGAUUUCAUUGCGGACUCAAAGCCAAAGGAUAUAUGCUAAUGCGAUACAUAUACUAACGGGUGCGAUCAUACCAGCACUAAUGCACCGGAUUCCAUCAGAACCCCGCAGUUAAGCAUGCUUGGGCGAGAGUAGUCCUAGGAUGGGUGACCUCCCGAGAAGUCCUCGUGUUGCACCCCUUUUUUGUUCCUCUUCAUUUCUUUGUUUUUUUUUUUUGGUCUUUUCAUUUGAAAAAAACAAUGCAUCUUCCGAACGACGCUAUUUCUAGACCGUGUGGAACCACGCCUCCUACAACAACUUUUCGGAAAGUCCCAAGAGUGCUCUCGGGCUUGCCCAACGGUCUAAAGACCAUGGGUGUGGUUUACGAGGCGAAAUUUUGAGUUUUAGACCCUCUUCCGGGCGUUUUUCUAAAACAUAAGCCCCUGUUUUAGUGUCGUCAAACGUGGUGUCCUAACUUAUAUAACUUGGCACGAAUGCUCGUCCCAGCUGGGCAGGAAAACCCAUAUAAACAGUGCAACACACGCGAAGAGAUUUCAUUGCAGACUCAAAGCCAAAGGAUAUAUGCUAAUGCGAUACAUAUACUGAUGGGUGCGAUCAUACCAGCACUAAUGCACCGAAUCCCAUCAGAACACCGCAGUUAAGCGUGCUUGGGCGAGAGUAGUACUAGGAUGGGUGACCUCCCGGGAAGUCCUCGUGUUGCACCUUUUUUUGUUCCUCUUGAUUCUUUUGUUUUUUUUUUUUUUUUGUCUUUUCAUUUCAAAAACAAGGCAUCUUCCGAAGGACGCUAUUUCUAAACCGUGUGGAACCACGCCUCCUACAAAACCUUUUCGGAAAGCCCCUAGAGUGCUCUCGGGCUUGCCCAAGAGUCUAAAGUCCAAUGGUGCGGUUUACGAGGCCAAAAUUUGAGUUUUAGACCCUCUUCCGGGCGUUUUUCUAAAACAUAAGCCCCGGUUUUAGUGUCGUCAAACGUGGUGUCCUA